GACGAACGCUGGCGGCGUGCUUAACACAUGCAAGUCGAACGAUGAACGCGGAGCUUGCUCCGCUGGAUCAGUGGCGAACGGGUGAGUAACACGUGGGCAACCUGCCCCUCACUUCGGGAUAACUCCGGGAAACCGGGGCUAAUACCGGAUAUGACCUCCUUGGGCAUCCUUGGAGGUGGAAAGUUUUUCGGUGAGGGAUGGGCCCGCAGCCUAUCAGCUUGUUGGUGAGGUAGUGGCUCACCAAGGCGACGACGGGUAGCCGGCCUGAGAGGGCGACCGGCCACACUGGGACUGAGACACGGCCCAGACUCCUACGGGAGGCAGCAGUGGGGAAUAUUGCGCAAUGGGCGAAAGCCUGACGCAGCAACGCCGCGUGCGGGAUGACGGCCUUCGGGUUGUAAACCGCUUUCAGCAGGGAGGAAGCCGCAAGGUGACGGUACCUGCAGAAGAAGCACCGGCUAACUACGUGCCAGCCGCCGCGGUAA
This 485-nucleotide ribosomal RNA is filed under the name uncultured bacterium. RNAcentral describes it as "partial 16S ribosomal RNA". It matches the Rfam family "Bacterial small subunit ribosomal RNA", at positions 28 to 523 of the family's 1533-position model. The record is from RNAcentral.